UACGUAGGGACCAAGCGUUGUUCGGAUUUACUGGGCGUAAAGGGCGCGUAGGCGGCAAUUCAAGUCAUCUGUGAAAUCUCCGGGCUUAACUCGGAACGGUCAGAUGAUACUGCUUUGCUAGAGUACAGAAGGGGCAAUCGGAAUUCUUGGUGUAGCGGUGAAAUGCGUAGAUAUCAAGAGGUACACCUGAGGUGAAGACGGGUUGCUGGGCUGAUACUGACGCUGAGGCGCGAAAGCUAGGGUAGCAAACGGG
Molecule: ribosomal RNA, 253 nt
Filed under: uncultured bacterium
Lineage: Bacteria
Description: partial 16S ribosomal RNA
Rfam family: Bacterial small subunit ribosomal RNA
Source: RNAcentral